AUGUUUGUAAUACACAUGUUUGUAGCAAACAGUAGGUUCAGUCAAUGUGCUACUACAAAUUAGACUGCUGUUCAAGAGAGGGCUUAGGGAGGGGUAUCUGUCUAGCUGGUUUUCUUUCUUUCUUUUUUUUUUUUUUUUUGAUGGAGAUUUAUUUCUUCCAGGUUUAAGAUGGAAAUGGAAACCUGUACCAUUAUUCAUUUUGCAUCACAGAAAGUAAGCUUCAUCACCAAUGGAAGUUCUAAUUUCUUUGUGGAAAUACAUUCCUUGCUGAUUAAUUCCAUCUUCCCUUCAUUGUCAAACUGCAGAAGAUUUGCUUCAAAACCCAAAGAUCAGAAUAAGAAUGUGUGCUUCUCCUGGACCAGCAUUGGCGUGUUCGAAGGGAGCUGUCCUAGGGUUGUCGUAAAAGAGACCCAGCCGAGAACACCCACAGAGAGAUGGGCACCUGGAAGUCCAGCUGCUGAGAGAGAAGGCAUUGCUCCUUGGAAGGGCACACAGUUGGGGACUCCGUGAGAGCUCUCUUAGGAACCCAAGAAUGCACCACAUGUGAGAGAAAGAGCCAGAAAUUUCUCCUCUACUCUGCUGAGACGGUCCAAAGCCAGAUAACAACCGGUCCCUCCAGUAACUGCCCUACCAGAGAGUUAUGAGUAUCUCCUUGAUGAUAUGAAAAUCGAAGGAGGCUAAGCUAUUGUUACUUUCCCAAGAUCACAAAGCUGGUAAGUGACCGGAAACAGUUCAUCCCAGGUUGGCCUGACCAGGACUUAGCUGCCCAUUCUGUCAUGGGGGCUCUAAAUCUGAGACACUGCAUGCUCCGGCCAUCACCUUCCUCAGUGUCCUCAUGUUGGGCCACACUACCUUUUACUCCUCACUUUCUUUUUUUUUUCUUUUUUUAACAUC
This is a long non-coding RNA of Aethalodelphis obliquidens (Pacific white-sided dolphin), 894 nucleotides long. RefSeq lists it as uncharacterized. NCBI's taxonomy places the organism in Eukaryota, Metazoa, Chordata, Mammalia, Artiodactyla, Delphinidae. The record is from RefSeq and is a predicted model, not a curated record. The transcript has 3 exons.